UUAUACCGUGAAACUGCGAAUGGCUCAUUAAAUCAGUUAUCGUUUAUUUGAUAGUACCUUACUACUUGGAUAACCGUGGUAAUUCUAGAGCUAAUACAUGCUAAAAACCUCGACUUCGGAAGGGGUGUAUUUAUUAGAUAAAAAGCCAAUGCCCUCCGGGGCUCUUUGGUGAUUCAUAGUAACUUAACGGAUCGCAUGGCCUUGCGCCGGCGACGGUUCAUUCAAAUUUCUGCCCUAUCAACUUUCGAUGGUAAGGUAUUGGCUUACCAUGGUUUCAACGGGUAACGGGGAAUUAGGGUUCGAUUCCGGAGAGGGAGCCUGAGAAACGGCUACCACAUCCAAGGAAGGCAGCAGGCGCGCAAAUUACCCAAUCCCGACACGGGGAGGUAGUGACAAUAAAUACUGAUACAGGGCUCUUUUGGGUCUUGUAAUCGGAAUGAGUACAAUUUAAACCCCUUAACGAGGAACAAUUGGAGGGCAAGUCUGGUGCCAGCAGCCGCGGUAAUUCCAGCUCCAAUAGCGUAUAUUAAAGUUGUUGCAGUUAAAAAGCUCGUAGUUGAACCUUGGGCCUGGCUGGCCGGUCCGCCUCACCGCGUGUACUGGUCGGCCGGGCCUUUCCUUCUGGAGAACCCCAUGCCCUUCACUGGGUGUGCGGGGGAACCAGGACUUUUACUGUGAAAAAAUUAGAGUGUUCAAAGCAGGCCUUUGCUCGAAUACGUUAGCAUGGAAUAAUAGAAUAGGACGUGCGAUCCUAUUUUGUUGGUUUCUAGGACCGCCGUAAUGAUUAAUAGGGAUAGUCGGGGGCAUCAGUAUUCAAUUGUCAGAGGUGAAAUUCUUGGAUUUAUUGAAGACUAACUACUGCGAAAGCAUUUGCCAAGGAUGUUUUCAUUAAUCAGUGAACGAAAGUUAGGGGAUCGAAGACGAUCAGAUACCGUCGUAGUCUUAACCGUAAACUAUGCCGACUGGGGAUCGGGCGAUGUUUCUAUCUUGACUCGCUCGGCACCCUAAGAGAAAUCAAAG
Molecule: ribosomal RNA, 1020 nt
Filed under: Amniculicola sp. JY-2022a
Lineage: Eukaryota; Fungi; Ascomycota; Dothideomycetes; Pleosporales; Amniculicolaceae
Description: SSU rRNA
Rfam family: Eukaryotic small subunit ribosomal RNA
Source: RNAcentral